Cloeon dipterum is the source of this 529-nucleotide long non-coding RNA. RefSeq lists it as uncharacterized. The transcript has 3 exons. The record is from RefSeq and is a predicted model, not a curated record. Lineage: Eukaryota; Metazoa; Arthropoda; Insecta; Ephemeroptera; Baetidae.
UCAUUCGACCUGUGAAAGCACCAAGUUCAAUGGAGGUGCAACUGGAGGAAGAUUCGACCAGCUCGUUUUGCGUAGACGUCGUGUUUUUAACAAAUGAAAGAAUUACUUCAGGCAACAAAAUAAUCUCGGCUGGAGUCUUGAACGCAACAGGAUCAAAUAUAUUUGAUAAAACAGUUCAAUCAGCGGGUAAUUAUUUGAAAUGGACCACGGUCAGAUUUGGAGCAGGUCAUAUCACACCGAAAAAGGGUUGGAAAAUCAAAUUGACUGCACAUGAUAAAUCACUUGUCAUUGGAGGCGUGAAAUUCUGCAAAGAAGGAGACUUGGUCACUAAGACUAAAAUGAGGAAUGUGGCUAACUGCUAUCCAUUAGUGAAACGACCGGAAAACAAGGCUCCAGACAAAUACAAUCAACUUCUCAAUCAGCUCGGUAAAUGCAAGGCAUUCGGAGGAUAUUGUGACGGAUACAAAUUGUGCUACACUCAACAUGAUUGUAAAUGCUUUGCUGGAUAUCAAGGAAGAACCUGCAAUAG